Long non-coding RNA from Helianthus annuus (common sunflower), 2027 nucleotides. RefSeq lists it as uncharacterized. The transcript has 7 exons. NCBI's taxonomy places the organism in Eukaryota, Viridiplantae, Streptophyta, Magnoliopsida, Asterales, Asteraceae. The record is from RefSeq and is a predicted model, not a curated record.
CACCCCCACCCCCAAAUUUAACCGGGUGUGAUUCUCCCACUCUCCCUCUAAAUCUGGAUCGAUUCCCAAAUCUUUAACCACCUAUUGAGGAUGCCCAUUCAUCCUCCUUUUUGCAGCCUCUUCAUUCUCAAUCUGGAUGUCAGGUUAGAAAGGAUCUUGAAAUCACCUUCAUCAUAUACUCAAAAAUUUUGAAUCGCUUGGAGUCGACUUUAGGUCGCUUCAUUAUGGAUAGCAUAGAAAGGGGAAGGCGAAGUCGGGUGUAGGCUCCUGGAAGUGAUGUCUUCUAAUGCACUCAAUCGACCUCGGUUCUAUCCAUAAGGCACUGAAUCUUACCACACACCCACUUUCAGAACCUUUUUUUCUAUUAAAAGGACCAGUUUUGAAUGAUGCUUGUGUGAAUCAAUUCAAAAUGAUGUCAGAAAAGAUUGUUUGGUUGAACCAAGAGAGGAGCUUUAUUCAGGUUACCAUGAAUCUGUACCAGAGGGAUUGAGGCUACAGAGAUACAAAGUGAAACAAUGGAGAUGGAGGUUCAAUUUCCGAAAAGCAGUUGAGAGAGAGAGAGAGAGAUCUCACUCCCUCCCAAACAGAGGGCCCUAAAGUGCUCGGAAUUGGUGGUGGACUCGGGUUACUCUCGGAAUACUUCGUUUGUCCAGCGGGUGCCCCAAAAGUGCUUGAGAUUGAUUCUGUUGGCUCUUAAAAAAAAGAGGGCCCUAACACACUUCUAAUUUAUGAAGUUCAGAGAUCUAAAUCUCUGUGUAUAGCAUUUAAUUUUAAUAACAGUGAAUACUUCGCUACUGGUGCAAACGAGUCGAGUUGCUCAUGAGCUACUUGAGAUCGGCUUGUUGAUAACUUGAAUUGAGCCCGAGCUUAAUCUUUCAUCAACGGUAAUUUCAUAAAAGAGCUCGAGCUUGAGCCUACUUGCGAGCCUAAACAAGCUUUUUAUUUUUAUAAUGAUUAUUUGAUAUAUCUAUAUAAUAGUUAUUAGUAUAUAGAGAAUUAAGAUAAAGUUAAUUAAAUAGUAUAUACUAUCUUUUAUAUAAAAACUAUAAUUAUUAAUAUAUAUGUAAAUAAUUACAAAAUGUCCAAAUAAAGUAAUUAUAUUGAUAAUAUAUAAUAAAGGAGUUGCGCCCAAACAUGUAAAGCUACCCAUAAACCAGGCUUGAGCUUUAAUGACCAUGAGCUCUCUUCAAUCAAAUGAUCCAAGCUUGAGCGGCCCUAUAUAGCUUGGCUCGGCUUGUUUACACCCCUAACCAUGAAUACCCAUGUCCAUGUUGUACAAAAUACAAACUAUGAUGCUAUUAUUUCUAUGUAAGAUUUGCAGGAAGGUGGAAGCAAUUUUAAAACCAUGGGUGGUUCACAGGGGAAAGAAUUGGUUUAUAGGCUUGAAGGGCUUUAUUAUAAAGAUAAAAAGUUUUAUUAUUUCUAUUUUUUUGCUGGUACAAUCAUCGUUCUUUCAUUGAUGGUUCAUGAGAUGGAUUACAAGAUUUUGAAGAACCUAAGGAUGCGAGGAUGCACGAUAAGCAAAGUGGGAAUUUGCUAAAGAAGAGUAGAUGUUUACGGGAACAAAUGAUGAACUACAAAAUGGAAGUGAUUUGGUGGAAUAAGGAGUAUGAUGGCGAUGUUCGACUUUACGGGAGUCGUGUUACUAAAAAAUGAUGAAGAAAAUGGAUGGCGGUGAGGAACCAUACAUGAUUCCGGGUGUACUUAUGGAAACAUUCAAAGGGAGCUUUAAGUUGAGAAGACACAAUUGCUUGAAAUGCGAAAAGAAAUUGAAGAUGACCAUCGAAGGAAAAAAAGUUAAGGUAGAAGCUAUGUAGAAAGAUUUUGACAACAAGCGAUCGAACUUUGAAGCUAUUGCAAUAUAUUAUAGAAAAGCUACCUAUUGGAGUACUUCAAUAUCCUAGAGAUGAGUAGAGGUGUUUGUUACUUUAUAUAAUUGUAAUUAAAAAUUUAUUUUGAUUAAAUUGUUAUUUUGACUUUACACUAUGUUAGAUUAUGAUUUAGUAUUAUCUAUUUUAUUUAUGUUA